RNAcentral lists this ribosomal RNA (775 nucleotides) under uncultured Neocallimastigales. RNAcentral's name for it is "partial large subunit ribosomal RNA". It matches the Rfam family "Eukaryotic large subunit ribosomal RNA", at positions 23 to 638 of the family's 3401-position model. Lineage: Eukaryota; Fungi; Neocallimastigomycota; Neocallimastigomycetes; Neocallimastigales. The record is from RNAcentral.
AGAGAUGUGUGAUGACGCAUAUCAAUAAGCGGAGGAAAAGAAACUAACAAGGAUUCCCCUAGUAACGGCGAGUGAAGCGGGAAGAGCUCAAAUUUGAAAUCUUCAAGGGUUUCCCUUGACGAAUUGUAGUUUAAAGAAGUGUUUUCUGUUAGAGAGGUGGUAAAAGUUCUUUGGAAUAGGACAUCAUAGAGGGUGAGAAUCCCGUAUUUGAUCACUUUCUACUAACGUUGUGAUACACUUUCAAAGAGUCGGAUUGUUUGGGAAUGCAGUCCAAAAUGGGUGGUAAAUUUCAUCUAAAACUAAAUAUUGGCGAGAGACCGAUAGCGAACAAGUACCGUGAGGGAAAGAUGAAAAGAACUUUGAAAAGAGAGUUAAACAGUACGUGAAAUUGUCAAAAGGGAAGCGUUUGACACCAGUGUUGUUUAGUUGAAAAUCAAUUAAAUAUUUUUCGAUUUUAAGUAGUAUUGACCUUAUCAGCUUGCUGCUUUUUUCUCGGAAAUUAUUUAAUGCACUUUUCAGUUAACAAGUCAACAUCAAUUUCUUUUGUUGUAAAAAGGUAAGAGGAAGGUGGCUUGCGCUUCGGCUCAAGUGUUUAUAGCCUUUUACCCCUGCAAUCGGAGAGAUUGAGGUCUGCAGCGUAGAUCCUUCGGGGUUAGAUACAUUUGUGCUAAGCUAUAGCCUUGUAUAGACAACUUGUUGACUAUGCUCAGUCAUGUAGCUUACUCGCUUAUGCUAUUUUACCUACGCUUAGGAUGUUGACAGCAGUAUAGACUGU